RNAcentral lists this long non-coding RNA (359 nucleotides) under Nicotiana tabacum (common tobacco). RNAcentral describes it as "long non-coding RNA (NTAB_LNC009674)". The record is from RNAcentral. Lineage: Eukaryota; Viridiplantae; Streptophyta; Magnoliopsida; Solanales; Solanaceae.
UACAAAGAAUCGUGGAAUCAACCUCAGGUGAUGAGGGGUUGAUGUUUGAAGCUUUAAAUCUUCAUGAUGAGCUUCGACAAGUCAUUUCCAGGUACGAGGAAAUGGAAGCAGCGCUAGAGUUGGGAGAAAGACUGCCUAAAACACCUGAAGAUGGAAGUGGCCUGCCUAACACAGCUCUUGAAUCGGGAGAAAGACUGCCCCCUAAAACACCUGAAAAUGGAAGUGGCCUGCUCAAUGUUGCUGAUACCAGUGAAGCCAAUUUAGAGAAGCCGGCUUUAAAUGCAAGGGAAAGCCAUGCUGUAGCCCCUACAAAAGAAGAAAACAAUCAGUCACACCCUGAGGUUGUAAAACCGGGCAUU